This 1339-nucleotide long non-coding RNA is filed under the name Homo sapiens (human). RNAcentral's name for it is "HSALNT0040730". The record is from RNAcentral. Lineage: Eukaryota; Metazoa; Chordata; Mammalia; Primates; Hominidae.
UGGUCAGUGAGAGACAUGAGAAUGGAAGAAUGUCAGAGAGAUGCAACGUUGCUGGUUUUGAAGAUGCAGGAAGCUGGUUAUUCCCAGUUUAGGGAAUGUGGGAGGCCUCUAGAAACUGGAAAAGGCAAGAACAUGGGUUCUCCCUAGAGCCUUCAGACAGAAACACAGUUCUAAGAACACUCUGAUUUUAACCCAGUGAGACCAGUGCCAGACUUCUAAACUACAGAACUGUAAGAAGUUGCUAAGUUUGUGGUAAUCUGUUACAACAGCAAUAGAAAACUAAUAGAACGUGGGAUGAGAUACAAUGAGGACACAGCCUUGUGUUAUUUGCUGGCCAUCACAAACUCUCUUUGUUGUUUCUACUCCUAGGUAAAAGGUCAUUAAUUAGGAGAAGAUUUAUCUCAAGGAAACGUAUGCCAUUUGUGGUGUCUUUUUACUCUAGAUCUGUGGGUAGUGUGGUCAAAGAUGACUUCUGCAGAUAAAAACAUCAUCUUGUAUGCAAGGGCGUGGUGAAAACCUCUGCUACCAUACUGGAUACAAGGUCUUUAACUUCUCAGCACCAGUUUUAUGGAGCCCCCACCGCUAAGCAAGUAUGCAAAAUGCAGUGCUGCUUCGCAUUGGGAAAUCCCCAAUCUGGUGCCAAGAGGUUCAUAAAUACAGUAAUGGACCCUCUUAUGUCAAAAGUGAGUACUGUUUAACAGCGUAAGUUGGAACAGCCUUCAGGAUGCUUUGCAGCUGCAGUUGUUCCACUGCAAGACAUCACAAACUUCAUGAUGAUGGUUGUCACACCAGGUCCUGGAAAGGCAACCUACUUCAGUCUGCAAAGUGAACUAAAAGGGAAUGGUUGUUCAUACAUGGCCCUGAUGCCACUGACAUAAGAAACGCAAUGACAAGAGCGAUGAAGUAGGAAUUUGGUGGCAGAUGGUCAGGUCUGCAGGAAGUGUCCACCCAGCUUUGUUUGGCCCAUAUUCUGAAACAACUAGAAUAAACACUUAGUGUCAUAAUUUAUAAGCAUAUCAGUACCAAUAAAUCAGAAUCAUGCAAACAGUCAUGUUUAUUAUAUUCUUGUUGCUUAAUAUUCAUGACAGUAAUUUAUUUUUAUAGUACAGUUUUACUGUUCUCUCCACCAUUGCUCUCUGCAUUUAAGGCUGGCAAGUUGUACUAGCAGAAGUUCAGGUAACCCUUUGAAGACUGCAAAAUUCAUUAGCCUGGUCAAAAGACUUGAUUUGCUCAUUUAAUUUUUCCCUUUUUCUCUCAUAAACUUUUAAGCCACUGAGAUGAAAUUUCUGGAAACUAAGUAGUAAUAAUACUUCUUCGACAUGUAGAAAAUGUGAAUACU